Molecule: ribosomal RNA, 155 nt
Filed under: cyanobiont ZPQP 39B of Zamia portoricensis
Lineage: Bacteria; Bacillati; Cyanobacteriota
Description: partial 16S ribosomal RNA
Rfam family: Bacterial small subunit ribosomal RNA
Source: RNAcentral
UGCCUGAAGAUGAGCUCGCGUCUGAUUAGCUAGUAGGUGUGGUAAGAGCGCACCUAGGCGACGAUCAGUAGCUGGUCUGAGAGGAUGAUCAGCCACACUGGGACUGAGACACGGCCCAGACUCCUACGGGAGGCAGCAGUGGGGAAUUUUCCGCA